Molecule: ribosomal RNA, 520 nt
Filed under: uncultured Glomus
Lineage: Eukaryota; Fungi; Glomeromycota; Glomeromycetes; Glomerales; Glomeraceae
Description: SSU rRNA
Rfam family: Eukaryotic small subunit ribosomal RNA
Source: RNAcentral
AGCAGCCGCGGUAAUUCCAGCUCCAAUAGCGUAUAUUAAAGUUGUUGCAGUUAAAAAGCUCGUAGUUGAAUUUCGGGGUUAGUAGGUUGGUCAUGCCUCUGGUAUGUACUGGUCUCACUGAUUCCUCCUUCCUGAUGAACCUUAAUGCCAUUAAUUUGGUGUUUUGGGGAAUUUGGACUGUUACUUCGAAAAAAUUAGAGUGUUUAAAGCAAGCUAACGCUUGAAUACAUUAGCAUGGAAUAAUGAAAUAGGACGUCCGAUCCUAUUUUGUUGGUUUCUAGGAUUGACGUAAUGAUUAAUAGGGAUAGUUGGGGGCAUUAGUAUUCAAUUGUCAGAGGUGAAAUUCUUGGAUUUAUUGAAGACUAACUACUGCGAAAAGCAUUUGCCAAGGAUGUUUUCAUUAAUCAAGAACGAAAGUUAGGGGAUCGAAGACGAUCAGAUACCGUCGUAGUCUUAACCAUAAACUAUGCCGACUAGGGAUCGGAUGAUGUUAAUUUUUUAAUGACUCAUUCGGCGCCUU